RNAcentral lists this long non-coding RNA (794 nucleotides) under Ixodes scapularis (black-legged tick). RNAcentral's name for it is "uncharacterized LOC120841361". The record is from RNAcentral. Lineage: Eukaryota; Metazoa; Arthropoda; Arachnida; Ixodida; Ixodidae.
AAGCUGCCGAUCAGCUGCCAGUCUGGAUAGUAGCCAUCAACUCAGCAAAGGCCUGCAGGCGAAUCAGCCCAACCUGUUUCUCUGCUGCCUUUCAAGACAGGAUGGUUUGUGAAAAGUGAAACGGGGCCCAUGCACCGCUUCCGCAGGGCCCUGCUGUGGGAGCUCAUGGAGGUGGCACGGUGCAUGGAAGGACAGAGUGGCUGACAGUGAGCUGCCCAAGCAAGCUGCUGGCUCUUGUGACCGUCUCCGAAAGCCUCUGGAUGGGCUAAAUUGCAGACGUGCCUGGACAUUUAUAAAUGGUGCUGCUAUCCAGCUCUACGUCACAGCGAUGAAGUGGCCAUGGGGUGAACUGUGUACAACUGCUGUCAUUAGUACUCGAAUCGGCAGAGCCACCUACUAGCUCUGAAGCGCAGUUGCCAGGCACCAGAUACUCGACCAGCAACCAACCUUUGUCGCUCUAGUGGGACACGAGAGCGACAAACAGAAACAAACGACAGCUACAAGCCUCCAACCCAUUCAGCAUGCCCGUGGUGGUACUUUUGGCAGGCGGCGUUUAUUCGUUCGGUGCUCGUGAAAUAAGCAUGAGUGAUUCUAAGCCUGCCAAAGAUACCCUCGCGUGCAUGAUGCUUGUGUUUAAGCAUAGCCUCCUUUAUUCUACAAAGCCUGUCAAAUCGGGAAAGACUCGGGUUUGAGACUUGUCGUCAUUUGUUUCUGUUUGUCGCUGUAGUGGAACUCGGGCAUAAGCUAGCACCAUGUACUGAACAUGAAAUAAAAAACCACUGUAUCAAACUUGA